RNAcentral lists this ribosomal RNA (450 nucleotides) under uncultured Cellulomonas sp. Its description in RNAcentral is "bacterial SSU rRNA". It matches the Rfam family "Bacterial small subunit ribosomal RNA", at positions 336 to 796 of the family's 1533-position model. Lineage: Bacteria; Bacillati; Actinomycetota; Actinomycetes; Micrococcales; Cellulomonadaceae. The record is from RNAcentral.
UUCCUACGGGAGGCUGCAGUGGGGAAUAUUGCACAAUGGGCGAAAGCCUGAUGCAGCGACGCCGCGUGCGGGAUGACGGCCUUCGGGUUGUAAACCGCUUUCGGCAGGGAAGAAGCCGUAAGGUGACGGUACCUGCAGAAGAAGCGCCGGCUAACUACGUGCCAGCAGCCGCGGUAAUACGUAGGGCGCAAGCGUUGUCCGGAAUUAUUGGGCGUAAAGAGCUCGUAGGCGGUUCGUCGCGUCUGCUGUGAAAUCCUCAGGCUCAACCUGGGGCGUGCAGUGGGUACGGGCGGACUAGAGUGCGGUAGGGGUGACUGGAAUUCCUGGUGUAGCGGUGGAAUGCGCAGAUAUCAGGAGGAACACCGAUGGCGAAGGCAGGUCACUGGGCCGCAACUGACGCUGAGGAGCGAAAGCAUGGGGAGCGAACAGGAUUAGAUACCCGGGUAGUCA